RNAcentral lists this long non-coding RNA (2635 nucleotides) under Ficedula albicollis (Collared flycatcher). RNAcentral describes it as "lncRNA (ENSFALG00000025717.1)". Lineage: Eukaryota; Metazoa; Chordata; Aves; Passeriformes; Muscicapidae. The record is from RNAcentral.
CAUCUCAGAUUUCCUCCCAGGUGGUCAUCCUUGAAUGGGAUGAGAUUUCCCUGCAGGCACAGCUGGUCCCCAGCUACCCCUUACUUGCUGAGUUGAGCACUGCCAGGUAGCAGAGACAACCCAGUGGGAGUGUGGACCCACUGCUGGGACCUCCCUGUGGCCAGAGGGUGCCAAAGGGGCUCCUCAAGUAGACUUUGGAGAGGGGAGUGACACAAAAAUGUUCCCAGCACGGCUUCAGGUGACAGCAGGUGACAAGGUGGAGGGAGGAGAGCCCCAGGUUCUGAAGAGCUCAGUUUGCAGCUGGAGAUGGAUCACCAAUCUUCCAGGGAAUUGUGCUCUACAAGGUUAAGCAUGUUUGCAGAAGAAAUAUGGAUAAUGCUCUUAUCAUCAUUAGAUUACUUUCCAUCCCGGCUGCUCACAUGAAUUGUACCCCCUGUUACCAUGAGCAAGGCUCCUAUUUUCCAUGCCUAAUGUCAUUGUGGCCCUACAUUUACCCAGAGGACUGGAGAGAACUUUCCAAGGCACAAAGAGAGCAGCUCUGCUCUCCCUCCCCGGCAGACAAUUUGUGCAUAUGUGCGUAUAAAUGCUGCACUUACUUUGAGAUGUCUCUCUAAUCCAGGAGUUGAUAAAUGACUCUUUCAGACACCUCUGCUGAUGCUGCAUUUUUAAUGUAGACAAACUGUAGCUCUGGCUCCAGCCUGUGCAUCCCUGCCACUGCCAUCCCCACUCUUGGCGGGUUAAUGUUUCAUCUCGCCUGCUGUAAUUUGGGAGGUUUUUACUUCCAGAGUGUGUUUUGAUUUACAGAAGGUAAAAAGCAGUUGGCAGUUUGAUGUUUACUCUUUUGUGGGCUUGUUGGUUUUUUUUCUCUUUUUAAAUGCAGCAAGCUUUCAGGUGCGAGUGCUGCUUCCUGCUGUACAUAACUGAUAUUUAUCCUGCCUCUCUGGGGAAAGAUGCUGCCCAAAAGGGAUGCCAAACAAAGCCCCUCACACCCUGCCUGAGCUGUGGUUUUGGGGACUGAGCUGCUCUAACUGCUCACUGUGGUGCAGGGUGGCACAUAACAUCUGCCAGUGCAGGACUUGUACAGGGAUCAAAGGGAAAGCAGAGCUCACAGGAAGCAGCUGAAUACACAGUCAGUGUUUGCAGCCCUAAGAAAUCAGUUUCUGCCAGUUGGCAUUAUCCAUAGUCUGGGCUUGUUGGGAGCUCAUCUCCCUUUGCUGCUGGAGCAAGAGUGAUCAGAUGAGUCAAAGGCAAGCAAAGACUUUCAGAUGGAAGUAAUGUGGGCAUGCUGCAUCCAUGCAGGGCUGUGGGUAUCUGUGGGGAUUCCCAGUGUUUCACAUCUUCAGAAUGAGCUCAGGAAGGUCCAAUCUUGCUCAUUCUCAUCAGCACCAAACCAGAGUGAGGUCACUGAGAUCACCGAGCUCCACAGCCCAAGUGGGGAGCAGAGAAUCAUUCUCUUGGGAGGAAAAUGUUUUCUAGUAACAAAAAGGUGUGUGUUGUUGUAGCCCACUGCUGAUUUUGAGGAAGACCUCACCAAGCCUCUGACAUCCUGAGUGACCCUAGAAGAACAAAAACUUUUGUCACUGGGCUUCUGCUUCAGUAGCUUUCCAUCUCUUACUCCAUCCAUGUGUUAUGUCCACUACAGUGGGGACUGGUUUCCUUUACAGCACUUCCCCAGGGCUCUGUAAUCUCUUUAUUCUGCUGCCUUACACGAUCUUCAGUACUGCAGAGGCAGCAGUCCCCCGGCACUGAAUCUUCCCAAAUGUGCAGCCUGCCCCCUCUGCCUGAUCCCUCCUUUGUGCCCACAGACCCUUACAGGCUUUGCUGCUGUCCCCAGAAAGCCCUGUCACUUCUUGAUGAGUUUCUGGUGGCAAAGUGAGUGCCUGUGGCUGUAGGAGCCCUGCCUGAGCAGGGCUUACAGCUGUGAGCUCUCACCUCUCCCGGGACAGCACAGUGAGUGCUGCACCUGGGACAAAGAGGGCAAGGUGACAACCAGACCUGGUCUGCAGCGCCCUGUGACUGCCCCAGGAGCUGCCCAGCCUGUCCCUGAGCCCUGGGCUCCAGCCCCCUGUGAGUGCCCAGGAGCAUCCUGAGAUCAGUCAGUUGUGCAUGGGAGCAAGUGCAAAACAAACUGCACUUGAGAGCAGGCACUGUCUCUCUCUGUCUCUAUUUCACUGAGCCCUUGUUCCAAACUCUUGCUUUGCUGAGGAGUUUCUCCAUGUCACACGCGCUGAACUUGGAUUAUGCUGCAAGAUCUUCCUGGUGUUGGUGUUGUCUAAAGAAUAACCUGGCUGUGUUUGCCUGCCUCAAGCCCAUCCUAAACUAAUCCUGAUUUUCUCAAUUUACUUUAUAUUACUGUUUCUCUUCCCUCAUUGUCUAACCUUAAUGAUAAGCCUGGAGAAUGGCUUGGGAUCAUGGCAAGAGUGCCUGCCCUGGCUGCAGUGGGUGUAGAGGCAUUUUGGGGAGAUGGGGCUCCCCCCUGCCUCCCUCUGUGCAAGGGUUGAUGUGGAGGCAUUACCUCAUGUUCCACGCCACGCAGUGAGUCAAACUCUGCUAAGUAACUAAAUAAAGAUGUAAUUUUAAUGAUGAUUAAAUUGAAGCACCUCAUUAAUUUCAUGUGAGAGGUGGGGAAGUACAC